GAUGAACGCUGGCGGCGUGCCUAAUACAUGCAAGUCGAGCGAACAAACGAGGAGCUCUCCUCUCUGCCGCUAGCGGCGGACGGGUAAUUCCCACGUAGCUAACUUAUCUAUAAGACUAACAUAAAUUAACGAACCCGAAGCCAAUACAGGUUAAUAUAUAGAACAGCAUGGAUCAUCAGUGCUAACGCUUUCAGAUGACACUUAUUCAUGGUUCCUCGCCGCAUUAGCUAGUUGGUAAGGUAACGGCUUACCAAGGCGACGAUGCGUAGCUGACCUGAGAGGAUGAUCAGUCACACUGGAACUGAGACACGGUCCAGACUCCUACGGGAGGCAGCAGUAGGGAAUCUUGCACAAUGGGCGAAAGCUUGACGGAGCAACGCCGCGUGAGUGAUGAAGGUCUUCGGAUCGUAAAACUCUGUUAUUAGGGAAGAAGGAAUGUGUAAGUAACUAUUCACGUCUUGACGUUACCUAAACAGAAAGCCACGGCUAACUUCGUG
RNAcentral lists this ribosomal RNA (497 nucleotides) under uncultured bacterium. RNAcentral's name for it is "partial 16S ribosomal RNA". It matches the Rfam family "Bacterial small subunit ribosomal RNA", at positions 28 to 507 of the family's 1533-position model. The record is from RNAcentral.